AUCAGAAAGCCACGGCUAACUACGUGCCAGCAGCCGCGGUAAUACGUAGGUGGCAAGCGUUAUCCGGAAUUAUUGGGCGUAAAGCGCGCGUAGGCGGUUUUUUAAGUCUGAUGUGAAAGCCCACGGCUCAACCGUGGAGGGUCAUUGGAAACUGGAAAACUUGAGUGCAGAAGAGGAAAGUGGAAUUCCAUGUGUAGCGGUGAAAUGCGCAGAGAUAUGGAGGAACACCAGUGGCGAAGGCGACUUUCUGGUCUGUAACUGACGCUGAUGUGCGAAAGCGUGGGGAUCAAACAGGAUUAGAUACCCUGGUAGUCCACGCCGUAAACGAUGAGUGCUA
RNAcentral lists this ribosomal RNA (337 nucleotides) under Staphylococcus aureus. RNAcentral describes it as "bacterial SSU rRNA". It matches the Rfam family "Bacterial small subunit ribosomal RNA", at positions 482 to 818 of the family's 1533-position model. Lineage: Bacteria; Bacillati; Bacillota; Bacilli; Caryophanales; Staphylococcaceae. The record is from RNAcentral.